Molecule: unclassified non-coding RNA, 241 nt
Organism: Homo sapiens (human)
Lineage: Eukaryota; Metazoa; Chordata; Mammalia; Primates; Hominidae
Rfam family: Metazoan signal recognition particle RNA
About the family: The signal recognition particle (SRP) is a universally conserved ribonucleoprotein. It is involved in the co-translational targeting of proteins to membranes.
Source: Ensembl
GCCGGGUGUGGUGGCUCACACCUGCAAUCCCAGCACUUUGGGAGGCCAAAGCAGGUGAUCACUUGAGGUCAGGAGUUCGAGUCCAGCCUGGCCAACAUGGUGAAACCCCAUCUCUACUAAAUAUACAAAAAUUAGGCUGGUCACGGGUGUAAUCACAGCACUUUGGCAAGCCGAGGUGGGCAGAUCACCUGAGGUCAAGAGUUCAAGACCAGCCUGACCAACAUGGUGAAACCCCGUCUCU